GACGAACGCUGGCGGCGUGCCUAAUACAUGCAAGUAGAACGCUGAAGGAGGAGCUUGCUUCUCCGGAUGAGUUGCGAACGGGUGAGUAACGCGUAGGUAACCUGCCUGGUAGCGGGGGAUAACUAUUGGAAACGAUAGCUAAUACCGCAUAACAGUAGAUAUCGCAUGAUAUCUGCUUGAAAGGUGCAAUUGCAUCACUACCAGAUGGACCUGCGUUGUAUUAGCUAGUUGGUGAGGGAACGGCUCACAAAGGCGACGAUACAUAGCCGACCUGAGAGGGGGGACGGCCACACUGGGACUGAGACACGGCCCAGAAUCCUACGGGGAGCAGCAGGAGGGGAUCUUCGGGCAUGGACGGAAGGCUGAACGAGCAACGCCGCGGGAGGGAAGGAGGUUUUCGGAUCGUAAAGCUCUGUUGUAAGGGAAGAACGAGUGUGAGAGUGGAAAGUUCACACUGUGACGGUAUCUUACCAGAAAGGGACGGCUAACUACGUG
RNAcentral lists this ribosomal RNA (495 nucleotides) under uncultured bacterium. RNAcentral's name for it is "partial 16S ribosomal RNA". It matches the Rfam family "Bacterial small subunit ribosomal RNA", at positions 28 to 507 of the family's 1533-position model. The record is from RNAcentral.